GUCUUAAAUACAUGAAUCUAUAACUCACUGUAGUAAUGUUGCGAUAUGUUAGAGUGUACUCUGAACUGUCCACUUUGCUCUCUCUUUUCUUUUAAAUGCAUGUUUUUCUCAGUAAAACUUAAUUACACGUACAGUAUCAUAGAGAAGGGAACUUGUAAAUAGAUGAAGGUCAAGAUAUGUGUGUCAAGCAUUCUACGUAAAAGUAUAAAUUCUACGUGUGGAAUAUGACCAUUGACAAAGACAUUCAUUGACGGCAAAGAUGAAGCUGGUAUAUGUCUUCUGCUUACUUAUUGCUGUACUGAUUGACCAGGGAGAAAGUGAAUGCAGAUCGUAUUGUUGUGAAUACGACCCCACCCGCACUUUCUGUACAAGAAUUUGCUGCGCAUCUGGUGCAGGUAGAAGAAGACGAUCCUCGUCCUCAUUCAAAUUCAAAGAACCCAGCGCCGUUUAUGAGCGAUUUAAGCAGAGAUUUAAACAUCAAUAAAAUGGUAACAUUCCAUUCACGUUCUUGUUUCCUGCUAUUAGUGUUCACUUCAAAUUAAGGUUCCUUAAAUUCUUUGUAGAUUUUUUUGAAU
Ostrea edulis (European flat oyster) is the source of this 575-nucleotide long non-coding RNA. RefSeq lists it as uncharacterized. The record is from RefSeq and is a predicted model, not a curated record. Lineage: Eukaryota; Metazoa; Mollusca; Bivalvia; Ostreida; Ostreidae. The transcript has 3 exons.